RNAcentral lists this ribosomal RNA (236 nucleotides) under uncultured bacterium. RNAcentral describes it as "partial 16S ribosomal RNA". It matches the Rfam family "Bacterial small subunit ribosomal RNA", at positions 47 to 258 of the family's 1533-position model. The record is from RNAcentral.
AUUCGAUUCAGCCCUAACACAUGCAAGUCGAGCGAAUGAAGAAGAAGCUUGCUUCUUUCUGCUUUAUCGGCGGACAAAAAAGUAACCCGUGGGCAACCUGCCCUGUAGAUUGGGAUAACUCCGGGAAUCCGGGGCUAAUACCGAAUAACCCAUUUCCUCUCAUGAGGAGAUGUUAAAAGACGGUUUCGGCUGUCCCUUCAGGAUGGGCCCCCGGCGCAUUAGCUAGUUGGUAGGGU